UUUCCGUCCUCACUUGUGCAUGUAUUAUUCAUUGAGAGUUGCACUGCAAGUCUGUGUUUUAACUUGUGUGGGAUUUUAGGCUGGCUCAGGUGAAUGUAGCUGUGGUGGAAAAGUUGUAAAGGGUAUGUCUGUCAAGCCAACUAAAGGAGAUGCUGUACUUUUCUGGAGCAUGGGUCUGGAUGGCCAAUCAGAUCCAAAUAGCAUACAUGCAGGGUGCGAGGUGCUAGCUGGGGAAAAGUGGUCAGCCACAAAAUGGAUGAGGCAAAUAUCUACCUCUUGAUUUUUCUAGCUUGCCCCUCUUAAAUUAUAUGAAUUUUGGGGCUUUUACCUGGUUCAUGAGAUAGAUAGAUACGUACAGUCAGAUAUCUCUAAGCCAUGAUGGACAUCAAGUUUGGCAUUCCAAAUAUGAUGAGCAUCAAGAGUAGUGUCAUACCGCCUCAGUUUAGGUACUAGUGGGAUUAAACAGAACAACAUACUCAAUAAUCAUGUUAGAAAGUGAAGAGUGCAUACGAUCGCGGAGAAUAGUAUGGGAUAAGGUGCAUCUUGUAAUGAAAUUCCAUUGCCGAGAAAGGCAAAAUGCAAAUGCUUUCUUGAUGGCAAAAUUUAGGCUUCUUAUGAAACCUUUUCUUGGUGGAACACUUGCCCUUGUUGAUUUUCCUUCCAAAGACAACGUUGCAAGCUUAAAGCCAUAAUAACA
Rosa chinensis is the source of this 697-nucleotide long non-coding RNA. RefSeq lists it as uncharacterized. Lineage: Eukaryota; Viridiplantae; Streptophyta; Magnoliopsida; Rosales; Rosaceae. The record is from RefSeq and is a predicted model, not a curated record. The transcript is spliced from 2 exons.